AUUGAACGCUGGCGGCAGGCCUAACACAUGCAAGUCGAGCGGAUGAAGGGAGCUUGCUCCUGGAUUCAGCGGCGGACGGGUGAGUAAUGCCUAGGAAUCUGCCUGGUAGUGGGGGAUAACGUCCGGAAACGGGCGCUAAUACCGCAUACGUCCUGAGGGAGAAAGUGGGGGAUCUUCGGACCUCACGCUAUCAGAUGAGCCUAGGUCGGAUUAGCUAGUUGGUGGGGUAAAGGCCUACCAAGGCGACGAUCCGUAACUGGUCUGAGAGGAUGACCAGUCACACUGGAACUGAGACACGGUCCAGACUCCUACGGGAGGCAGCAGUGGGGAACAUUGGACAAUGGGCGAAAGCCUGAUCCAGCCAUGCCGCGUGUGUGAAGAAGGUCUUCGGAUUGUAAAGCACUUUAAGUUGGGAGGAAGGGCAGUAAGUUAAUACCUUGCUGUUUUGACGUUACCAACAGAAUAAGCACCGGCUAACUUCGU
This 483-nucleotide ribosomal RNA is filed under the name uncultured bacterium. Its description in RNAcentral is "partial 16S ribosomal RNA". It matches the Rfam family "Bacterial small subunit ribosomal RNA", at positions 30 to 506 of the family's 1533-position model. The record is from RNAcentral.